This 1666-nucleotide non-coding RNA is filed under the name Clostridium butyricum E4 str. BoNT E BL5262. Its description in RNAcentral is "Bacterial large subunit ribosomal RNA". It matches the Rfam family "Bacterial large subunit ribosomal RNA", at positions 1250 to 2925 of the family's 2925-position model. Lineage: Bacteria; Bacillati; Bacillota; Clostridia; Eubacteriales; Clostridiaceae. The record is from Rfam by way of RNAcentral.
CUGAAGUCGUACCGUAAGGAGCGGUGGACUGAUUACGAGUGAGAAUGUUGGCAUUAGUAGCGAGAUGUAGGUGAGAAUCCUACAGGCCGAAUAUCUAAGGUUUCCUGAGUAAAGUUUGUCUUCUCAGGGUUAGUCGGGACCUAAGGCGAGGCCGAGAGGCGUAGUCGAUGGACAAUUGGUUGAUAUUCCAAUACCACUAUAAUCGUUAUUAUCGAUGGUGUGACGGAGAAGGAUAGGAUGUGCCAGCUAUUGGAUGCUGGUCUAAGCGUUGAGGGAGUUAGAACAGGCAAAUCCGUUCUAACAAUCCUAGGGCGUGAUGGGGAAGGUUCCACGGAACCGAAGUAUCUGAUUUCAUGCUUCCAAGAAAAGCAUCUAGAAAGAGAAGUAGUGCCCGUACCGCAAACCGACACAGGUAGAUGAGGAGAGAAUCCUAAGGCCGACGGAAGAAUCACAGUUAAGGAACUAGGCAAAUUGACCCCGUAACUUCGGGAGAAGGGGUGCCUACCAAAUGGUAGGCCGCAGAGAAUAGGCACAAGCAACUGUUUAACAAAAACACAGGUCUCUGCUAAAGCGUAAGCUGAUGUAUAGGGGCUGACGCCUGCCCGGUGCUGGAAGGUUAAGGGGAACACUUAGCGCAAGCGAAGGUGUGAACUUAAGCCCCAGUAAACGGCGGCCGUAACUAUAACGGUCCUAAGGUAGCGAAAUUCCUUGUCAGGUAAGUUCUGACCCGCACGAAUGGCGUAAUGACUUGUGCACUGUCUCAACUGUGAAUCCGGCGAAGUUGUAGUGCGAGUGAAGAUGCUCGCUACCCGCGAUUGGACGGAAAGACCCCGUAGAGCUUUACUGUAGCUUAGCAUUGAAUUUCGGUAUUGUCUGUACAGGAUAGGUGGGAGACUGGGAAAUUAGGGCGUCAGCCUUAAUGGAGUCGUUGUUGGGAUACCACCCUGAUAGUAUUGAAGUUCUAACUGGAUGCCAUGAAACUGGUGACAGGACAUUGUUAGGUGGGCAGUUUGACUGGGGCGGUCGCCUCCUAAAAUGUAACGGAGGCGCCCAAAGGUUCCCUCAGAACGGUCGGAAAUCGUUCGUAGAGUGUAAAGGCAUAAGGGAGCCUGACUGCGAGACCUACAAGUCGAGCAGGGACGAAAGUCGGGCUUAGUGAUCCGGUGGUACCUCGUGGGAGGGCCAUCGCUCAACGGAUAAAAGCUACCUCGGGGAUAACAGGCUGAUCUCCCCCAAGAGUUCACAUCGACGGGGAGGUUUGGCACCUCGAUGUCGGCUCGUCGCAUCCUGGGGCUGAAGUAGGUCCCAAGGGUUGGGCUGUUCGCCCAUUAAAGCGGCACGCGAGCUGGGUUCAGAACGUCGUGAGACAGUUCGGUCCCUAUCCGUCGCGGGCGUAGGAAAUUUGAGAGGAGCUGUCCUUAGUACGAGAGGACCGGGAUGGACUGACCUAUGGUGUACCAGUUGUUUCGCCAGAAGCAUAGCUGGGUAGCUAAGUCGGGAAGGGAUAAACGCUGAAAGCAUCUAAGUGUGAAGCCCACCUCAAGAUGAGAUUUCCCAUAGCAUAAGCUAGUAAGACCCCUUGAAGACUACAAGGUUGAUAGGUCAGAGGUGUAAGUGCGGUAACGUAUUUAGCUGACUGAUACUAAUAGGUCGAGGGCUUGACCAA